UACAGAGGGUGCAAGCGUUGUUCGGAAUUAUUGGGCGUAAAGCGCGUGUAGGCGGCUUUGCAAGUCGGGUGUGAAAGCCCUCAGCUCAACUGAGGAAGUGCGCCCGAAACUGCAGAGCUUGAGUGCCGGAGAGGGUGGCGGAAUUCCCCAAGUAGAGGUGAAAUUCGUAGAUAUGGGGAGGAACACCGGUGGCGAAGGCGGCCACCUGGACGGUAACUGACACUGAGACGCGAAAGCGUGGGUAGCAAACAGG
RNAcentral lists this ribosomal RNA (253 nucleotides) under uncultured bacterium. RNAcentral describes it as "partial 16S ribosomal RNA". It matches the Rfam family "Bacterial small subunit ribosomal RNA", at positions 524 to 776 of the family's 1533-position model. The record is from RNAcentral.